UGCACUGGGUGGAUGAGUGGCGAACGGGUGAGUAAUACGUGAGUAACCUGCCCUUGACUCUGGGAUAAGCCUGGGAAACUGGGUCUAAUACUGGAUACGACAUGUCACCGCAUGGUGGUGUGUGGAAAGGGUUUUACUGGUUUUGGAUGGGCUCACGGCCUAUCAACUUGUUGGUGGGGUAAUGGCUCACCAAGGCGACGACGGGUAGNCANCCUGAGANNGUGACCGGCCACACUGGGACUGAGACACGGCCCAGACUCCUACGGGAGGCAGCAGUGGGGAAUAUUGCACAAUGGGCNNNAGCCUGAUGCAGCGACGCCGCGUGAGGGAUGACGGCCUUCGGGUUGUAAACCUCUUUCAGCACGGAAGAAGCGAAAGUGACGGUACGUGCAGAAGAAGCGCCGGCUAACUACGUGCCA
This 419-nucleotide ribosomal RNA is filed under the name Kocuria rhizophila. RNAcentral's name for it is "bacterial SSU rRNA". It matches the Rfam family "Bacterial small subunit ribosomal RNA", at positions 79 to 510 of the family's 1533-position model. Lineage: Bacteria; Bacillati; Actinomycetota; Actinomycetes; Micrococcales; Micrococcaceae. The record is from RNAcentral.